AUACAUGCAAGUCGUACGAAGGAGCUUGCUCCUUAGUGGCGAACGGGUGAGUAAUACAUAAAUAAUCUGCCUCAAUGUCUGGGAUAACUAUUGGAAACGAUAGCUAAUACCGGAUAGCUUGUUAGAAGACAUCUUCUUUCAACUAAAGGAGCGUUCGCUCCGCUUUGAGAUGAGUUUAUGGCGCAUUAGUUAGUUGGCGGGGUAAUGGCCC
Molecule: ribosomal RNA, 211 nt
Filed under: uncultured bacterium
Lineage: Bacteria
Description: partial small subunit ribosomal RNA
Rfam family: Bacterial small subunit ribosomal RNA
Source: RNAcentral